GAGGAAAAGAAAUCAACCGAGAUUCCCCCAGUAGCGGCGAGCGAACGGGGAGCAGCCCAGAGCCUGAAUCAGUGUGUGUGUUAGUGGAAGCGUCUGGAAAGGCGCGCGAUACAGGGUGACAGCCCCGUACACAAAAAUGCACAUGCUGUGAGCUCGAUGAGUAGGGCGGGACACGUGGUAUCCUGUCUGAAUAUGGGGGGACCAUCCUCCAAGGCUAAAUACUCCUGACUGACCGAUAGUGAACCAGUACCGUGAGGGAAAGGCGAAAAGAACCCCGGCGAGGGGAGUGAAAAAGAACCUGAAACCGUGUACGUACAAGCAGUGGGAGCACGCUUAGGCGUGUGACUGCGUACCUUUUGUAUAAUGGGUCAGCGACUUAUAUUCUGUAGCAAGGUUAACCGAAUAGGGGAGCCGAAGGGAAACCGAGUCUUAACUGGGCGUUAAGUUGCAGGGUAUAGACCCGAAACCCGGUGAUCUAGCCAUGGGCAGGUUGAAGGUUGGGUAACACUAACUGGAGGACCGAACCGACUAAUGUUGAAAAAUUAGCGGAUGACUUGUGGCUGGGGGUGAAAGGCCAAUCAAACCGGGAGAUAGCUGGUUCUCCCCGAAAGCUAUUUAGGUAGCGCCUCGUGAAUUCAUCUCCGGGGGUAGAGCACUGUUUCGGCAAGGGGGUCAUCCCGACUUACCAACCCGAUGCAAACUGCGAAUACCGGAGAAUGUUAUCACGGGAGACACACGGCGGGUGCUAACGUCCGUCGUGAAGAGGGAAACAACCCAGACCGCCAGCUAAGGUCCCAAAGUCAUGGUUAAGUGGGAAACGAUGUGGGAAGGCCCAGACAGCCAGGAUGUUGGCUUAGAAGCAGCCAUCAUUUAAAGAAAGCGUAAUAGCUCACUGGUCGAGUCGGCCUGCGCGGAAGAUGUAACGGGGCUAAACCAUGCACCGAAGCUGCGGCAGCGACACUAUGUGUUGUUGGGUAGGGGAGCGUUCUGUAAGCCUGUGAAGGUGUGCUGUGAGGCAUGCUGGAGGUAUCAG
Molecule: ribosomal RNA, 1033 nt
Filed under: Escherichia coli
Lineage: Bacteria; Pseudomonadati; Pseudomonadota; Gammaproteobacteria; Enterobacterales; Enterobacteriaceae
Description: partial 23S ribosomal RNA
Rfam family: Bacterial large subunit ribosomal RNA
Source: RNAcentral